RNAcentral lists this ribosomal RNA (439 nucleotides) under uncultured bacterium. Its description in RNAcentral is "partial 16S ribosomal RNA". It matches the Rfam family "Bacterial small subunit ribosomal RNA", at positions 339 to 795 of the family's 1533-position model. The record is from RNAcentral.
CUACGGGAUGCUGCAGUGGGGAAUAUUGCACAAUGGGGGAAACCCUGAUGCAGCAACGCCGCGUGGAGGAUGACACAUUUCGGUGCGUAAACUCCUUUUAUAUAAGAAGAUAAUGACGGUAUUAUAUGAAUAAGCACCGGCUAACUCCGUGCCAGCAGCCGCGGUAAUACGGAGGGUGCAAGCGUUAUUCGGAAUCACUGGGCGUAAAGGGUGCGUAGGCGGUUUGGAAAGUCAGGUGUGAAAGCCCGGGGCUCAACUCCGGAACUGCACUUGAAACUUCCAGAAUAGAAUACUGAAGGGGCAGAUGGAAUUAGUGGUGUAGGGGUAAAAUCCGUAGAUAUCACUAGGAAUACCGAAAGCGAAAGCGAUCUGCUGGGAAGUUAUUGACGCUGAGGCACGAAAGCGUGGGGAGCAAACAGGAUUAGAUACCCUCGUAGUC